Neotoma lepida (desert woodrat) is the source of this 73-nucleotide non-coding RNA. Lineage: Eukaryota; Metazoa; Chordata; Mammalia; Rodentia; Cricetidae. The record is from Rfam.
GGAGAGAUGGUUCAGUGGUUAAGAACACUGAUUGCCCCUUCAGAGGACCCUGGUUCAAUUCCCAGUGUCUACA